GAGGAGGUUGAGGUCGGUGCGUCGCUGGUGCGUGACGGGGUCGAUCCCCAUGGAGAGCAGCUUCUUGCGGAGGUGCGUGUUCCAGUAGUUCUUGAUCUCGUUGUCGGUGCGGCCGGGGAGCUUGGUGGCGAUGGAGGACCACUUGUUGCCGAGGAGGGAGUGGAGGUGGACGAUGAGGUCUUCCUCGUCGUCGGUGAACCUGCCGCGCUUGAUGUCGGGGCGGAGGUAGUUGGUCCAUCGCAGGCGGCAGCUCUUGCCGCAGCGGUUGAGGCCGGCGAGCUUGGGCAGGCGGCGCCAGCUGCCGUGGCCGUGCUCGUUGAUGUAGUCCACCAGCAGCUUGUCCUCCUCGGGCGUCCACGGACCCUUCUUCACCCCCGCGUCCUGGUCGC
This 389-nucleotide unclassified non-coding RNA is filed under the name Zea mays. RNAcentral's name for it is "misc RNA Zm00001eb268780". The record is from RNAcentral. Lineage: Eukaryota; Viridiplantae; Streptophyta; Magnoliopsida; Poales; Poaceae.